GGCUGAUGGCCCCGAGACCCCAGGGUCCGGAUCAUGUCCCAAGACCUCUUCCUGUUCCAAGGAGCGACUUUUCCAGCGAACCAGGAGAAGCUGAGUCAUCCUUCCAUUUAGCUGUAUGAAAAAACCAAACCAAAAAAAAAAAAAAACCCAACAUCAUCUAACUUCAUUCGUAGCAAGAAUUGUCAAAUGAGGAGAUACUUUUCCUUCCAGGAGAUUCGAUUGGCAAGACUUCCAGGAUUCCUCAUGACUCCAGCUUGGAGAAAAUUGUGAUGGUGAGGGCAGCCUGCAGGGAAACCCAAUAGAAAAUAAACAGAUACAUGAGUGUCUCAGUCAGAAAAAGUAGUUUAUAUUACAAUUGCUCAUUGAGGUGUCCCCAUGGAGGGGGAGAGAGGCCAAGGAUGGAGUGAAUGUGAGAGCCUAUAGGAAAGGGUGCCCAGAGACGCAACUCAUUCCAUCGAACCUUUGCAUUGAAUUUGGAGUAUUUGAUCUGAAAAAUCAGAAUGAAAUAAAGGAAACAGAUCUGUGUAAUACAUAAGUGUAGUCAAGAAUGAAUCCACAUGGUGACCUGUAUUCCCAAAUGUUCGUGUGUAGCUUUGUCAAUACCUUGUGUCCCUCUGUGUGUGGGGGUGGGGUGGGGGGGUGUGAAUUACAUACUUUAUAGGUGCUCUGGAACUUGGGCUGGUCAUUGCACUGAUCGGAGUCCUUAAGUCUUUCAAAAGUUGUUUGUCUUUACAUGUUUGUUAUCACUAUAUAAAUUGUUGUCCCAGUUCUAUUUACUUUACUCGGCUUCCAGGCUUUCUCUGGAAAUCUCUUUCUUUAUUCCAAAUUGCAUCCCAGUCCCACCUCAUGUUUGAUUCUAGGUUUCAACUAACUAGCUUCCCAGCUAUUCCCAGAACAAAGCACUUCAAAGCUGUGCCUCAGACAUCUUCAGGAUGCAUUUUGUCCUCACCCACUUUUUGUGGCGUGAAGUAAGU
RNAcentral lists this long non-coding RNA (974 nucleotides) under Sarcophilus harrisii (Tasmanian devil). RNAcentral describes it as "lncRNA (ENSSHAG00000031006.1)". Lineage: Eukaryota; Metazoa; Chordata; Mammalia; Dasyuromorphia; Dasyuridae. The record is from RNAcentral.